AAAGAGCUCGUAGGCGGGAGCGUAAGUCUACAAUGAAAUCUCAAGGCUCAACUUUGAGGCUAUUGUGGAUACUGCGCUUCUUGAGAGUAUCAGAGGAUAGUAGAAUUCCCGGUGUAGCGGUGAAAUGCGUAGAUAUCGGGAGGAAUACCAGUGGCGAAGGCGACUGUCUGGGAUAUUUCUGACGCUGAGGAGCGAAAGCGUGGGGAGCAAACGGGAUUAGAUACCCUAGU
This 230-nucleotide ribosomal RNA is filed under the name uncultured bacterium. Its description in RNAcentral is "partial 16S ribosomal RNA". It matches the Rfam family "Bacterial small subunit ribosomal RNA", at positions 562 to 791 of the family's 1533-position model. The record is from RNAcentral.